RNAcentral lists this ribosomal RNA (604 nucleotides) under uncultured eukaryote. Its description in RNAcentral is "bacterial SSU rRNA". It matches the Rfam family "Eukaryotic small subunit ribosomal RNA", at positions 627 to 1227 of the family's 1831-position model. The record is from RNAcentral.
CUCGUAGUUGAACGUUCGGGUUCCGCGGGACGGGGCCGCCCCGCGAGGGGACGGCGCCGCCCCGGGGCUCGUGAUAUCUCAUCUCGCCGCCCGUCGCGAGGCGGACGGAGGGAUGGAUGAGGUUACCUGGAAAAAAUCGGGGCGAUCUAGGCGGGCGAACCUCGCCAACGAACGAUCGGACAUGGGAUAACGGAAGAGGGCGUCGGCUCGACUUCGUCGGUUCCUCGGGGCCGAGGCACGUACGGUGAAUAGGGACGGUCGGGGCCGCCCGUACCGGGUCGUGAGAGGUGAAAUUCUAGGAUCGACCCGAGACGAACCGCCGCGAAAGCAUUCGGCAAGGACGCUUUCAUUAAUCAAGAACGAAAGUCGGGGGAUCGAAGACGAUCAGAUACCGUCGUAGUCCCGACCGUAAACGAUGCCGACCGAGGGCCCCGGAGGAGUUACGUACGACCCUCCGGGCCUCCCGCGAGAAAUCAGGAGUAUUCGGGUUCCGGGGGGAGUAUGGUCGCAAGGCCGAAACUUAAAGGAAUUGACGGAAGGGCACCACCAGGAGUGGAAUCUGCGGCUUAAUUUGACCCAACGCGGGAAAACUCACCAGGUCAGG